GACGAACGCUGGCGGCGUGCUUAACACAUGCAAGUCGAACGGAAAGGCCUGCUUUCCCUUGUGGUUUGCGGGUACUCGAGUGGCGAACGGGUGAGUAACACGUGAGUGAUCUGCCCCCAACUUGGGUAUAAGCCUGGGAAACUGGGUCUAAUUCCCGAUAGUACUGCAGGGUGGUGCCUGUGGUGGAAAACGAUUUUCUAGUUGUUGGGGAUGAGCUCGCGGCCUAUCAGCUUGUUGGUGGGGUAAUGGCCUACCAAGGCGGCGACGGGUAGCCGGCCUGAGAGGGUGGACGGCCACAUUGGGACUGAGAUACGGCCCAGACUCCGACGGGAGGCAGCAGUGGGGAAUAUUGCACAAUGGGCGGAAGCCUGAUGCAGCGACGCCGCGUGGGGGAUGACGGCCUUCGGGUUGUAAACUCCUUUCGACCGCGAGGAAGCCACCUGGUUGGAAGGGUGGUGACGGUAGUGGGAGAAGAAGCACCGGCUAACUACGUG
RNAcentral lists this ribosomal RNA (494 nucleotides) under uncultured bacterium. RNAcentral describes it as "partial 16S ribosomal RNA". It matches the Rfam family "Bacterial small subunit ribosomal RNA", at positions 28 to 507 of the family's 1533-position model. The record is from RNAcentral.